CAGAAAGCCAAAUGCAAUUCUUGCCUGUCCAUUAGCAUAUGAAGAAAAUUGCAUUUAUAAGAGCUGCAAUUGAAUGUGAAAACCGAAAAACCUCUGGAGCUUUACUACGCUUAUUGGAUAGAGAUCCUGAAAAAUGGCUGUCACAUUCUGACAGCAUAAAUAUGUUCCCAGCAAAAUGCAAUUCAAUUCAAAUUAAUGAUUACAAUUUUCCAUUGCCUGAACAUGGCAGAAAAUUUAGUAUUUAAUUUUACAGCAAAAUUAUUUUAGAUAGAGAAAGAAAUUGUAGAAAUAGUUUUUAUAUGUUUUUACAUCCUAGGUAGCAAAUAUUUUAUUACUGCUGUGACAGAGUUCUAUAACCAGUCCACAAGAUCAGUUUGGGCCAGUUAAGGUGUUUGUGCCUGGAAACACUUAGGUUCUUGACUAAAGUGAAAUAUCACUUGUGCACACAAAAAAAAAUGCAUACACGACUACUAGAAUUAAUUUUUUUAAAGACUGAAUAAAGGGCCAAACAAAAAUAGUAUUCAACAGAGACAAAUGAUGUUCUUAUAUGAUGUAGGAUGUCCUUAUAAAAUAAAAUUUAUCUCCAAUACUUAAUCAAACAUGAUGCUUUUUGUGGCAAUGACAGCUCAAAAUUUACAGAAAAUAAUGGAAAUUUUCUAGGUUUCGUAGAAAUUAUUUCAAAAUGUGAUGCGAAAAUAUUCAACACAUAAUAUAGGUUUAAAAAUGCAUCAGAUGAUCACCAUAUAGAAUGGAGAAUGCAAAAUGAGAUUAUUAAUUUGUUUUAAAGUAAGAGAACUCAUACACAACAUAUUUAGAAGUAAAUCUUACUCAAUUUAAUUAGAUUAUAUUACAAACUAUAAUCAAAAGUAGUAUAUUUCUUUUUCUUUAUUAUUAUAAAAGUAAUAUAUUAGAUUUUAAAAGUCAUGGAAACAAGUAAUAUAUAUAUUGAUGAACCACCAGAAAGAAAAAACCCAAGGAAAUUGAAAUUAAUAUUCCCUGAGUUUACAUUUCCAGUGAUAAUUACAUUCAAUCGUAUUUGCUGUUUUGCUGGCUUUCACUCAUUUAAAAACCACAGCUUUAUGGAUUUUUUUUAUUUUGUUGUCAUGAAAGUAUGUUCUCUUUGUUGUGAUGAAACUAGUUAAAGCAGAGAGGAUGUGUUUUAUUUAACCGUUUGCUAGCUUGAUUUUACACUUUAAUUAUUUAGACAUAUGGUACAUGAGUCUCUAUUUGUGUUGUUACCUGGGCCCAACAAACGUUGGCAGGAAGCCUGGUUGCCACCCACCAGAUCUGACUUCCUCAGGUGUGGAUCCUCAGAGCCUCCUGGAACUCGCUGUGCAGCCACAUCAGUUUGCCAAGCCCUGGUCACCCCAAUCCCCAGCUUCUUCCUCAACCUACCUAGCCCGUUGUUGAUGUACCAGCGCGUCUCAGGAUCAAGUGCACGUGUGUAGCUACAACAGAGUUCUGAAAGUGUGAAACGUACUAAACCAAGCAUGUGUGCGGAGUGGCCUCACAGGCGAACUCAGAAUACUCAGAACUCUUUUACCAGCUGAGGAAACCAUCCUACUCCUUUCUCCCACCCUCCAGACUCCCAGGUCACCAGUAUUUGGUAUUUGAGAACUGUGAGUACCAGUCUUGUGGGAAGUGAAGAGAGAUUUAAGUUUAUGCUAAUCUUCCCCUCUCAAAGCCUAAUUACUUAAAGGCCAUUGGUCUGUGUGAACUCCUACAGCUAUUAAGAGUUAGGGAAGUCACAUAUUAAUUAUUCAAAUGAUUGAUCUGCUGGAUGAAUUAGCCCCCACCUUCCCCUCAUGUCCCAGCCUCUGAGGUGCUUUCCCCAUUUGUCAGCCACUGUGUACCGUGGGAUGCAAGCUGUCCCUAAUUGUUGGAGCAGUACAUCUGCUGAUCCAAAAAAUAAGAAGUACAUGCAGAUGGUAACAUUCUGGGUUCAGUCGCUUAGAAGAUUUCUCGUGCAUUACAGCGCUGCUCCUUUCUAUUACCACAGACCCUCAAGGGUAGCUGCGAAGGGAAGAAUUUAGUGGCAAUCUGUGCCCACAUCCAGAUAAGGGAUGGACUGCUCCAGGCUCUUUGAUGUCCAGAAGAGCCUAGAGUCUGUGGGGUGGGAUUUCCCUGAGAGCAGUACUUCCAUUCCUCAAAGACAGCCUGGGAGAGUGAAAAAACAAACACACGGAAAAAUAGGACAACUGAAGCCUGACGAAAUAAGCUGGUACCUUACCCACCCCAGGGCAUCUUGUGAGUUCAGCUUUGCUGGGUCUUGCAGAAAAAUCACUCACUGUUUCUCUGUCUUUUAUAGAGACAUGUUUUCUUAUUAUUCCAUAAGGAGUGGCUAUGUAUUGUACAAACUACAGGAAUCACAGAUAAGCAAAAUAACAUACAGCUAACUGCAGAUGAGCAAAGUAAAAUAUAAUAAAACAAAAAUCACCUGUAAUCCUACCCAUACUAUCACUGCUACACUUUGCUAUAUAUCCUUCCAGUCCUGUGUUUGUGUUUGUGUGUGUGUAUGUGUGUGUGUGUGCAUGUGUUUUAGUAAAAAUGAGGUCAUAUUGUAAAUGCUAUUUGACAGUCUGCCUUUUUAAUCAACAAUAUUAUGAAGGCUUUUCAUGGCUUCAAAUUUUCUGCUUUAUUACCGUUAUUAUUGAAAAUAAAUUCUCAAUAUAUGGUAGCUACUUUUAUGUGCCAUGCACUAUGCUAAGAGCUCCAAUUAAGUCAUGUCAUUUAGUCAUUUCUGUGACUCUAGGAAGUGGAUAUCAUUAUCCCCAUUUCACAGAUUAGGAAAUUAAGUCUCAGAGCUUGAGUAAUUUAAAAUAUGCCACAAAAGUGGUAAGUGACAUCACAGAUUAGAGCCCAGUUCUGCUGAGAAAGCUCAGGUUUUUAAUCAAUAUGAUAAGACUUCCGCUUAGCAUCAUCUUCUAAUAAUCUUUUGAGUAAAAACAGGGAUAGAUCAACAGGUAGUAGGUGAAUCAGGCAACUGACAAUCAAAAGACAUACAGAAACAAAUGUAAGUAUAAUCAAGCAUAUCAUCAUAUACAUGGAUGUGCAGGGGUGUUUGUAGAUCACAGAGAUAUAAUGAUACAAUCCGGGAUCAAAAGAAGGAAAAUCAGAAGUGAGAGUGAGGUCAGAGGAAAUGACAUGGAAAGUGUUUUUCAUCCUUUCCCUGGGCAAGUUGAGGACAUCUCUGAGAAGUAGAAACUACCCUUUAUCUCCUUUUCAUCCUUAUAACCAAUCUUCUUCAGUCACAUUUGGUGGCUCCCCUUCCUUGUCUCACCCACUAGCUGGGGAUAUUUCCCAAGGAAGACCACAUUCUUUUCUUUCCUUUUCUCCCUCAGGUGUCUCAGGCCUCCGGAUAGCCUACCUCUUAUCAUCAGAUGAUUUUCAAGUCAAUAUCUAGCUCUCCCCUUUAUCCAGAGUUAUGCUUCUGCAGCUCCAAAUGCCUGUGGAUUGCUCUACGUGCAUAUCCCAGUCAUUUCAAAUUCAAGAUGUAGAGCUCAACUCUCCCCUCCAAAAUUGAUUCUCCUUCUCAUCCCUCAAUUUCUGUUAGUGGCAUUAUUGCUCUCUCACUCUCUGGGCUCCAAUCUCAACUUAUCUUUGAUCAUUCCUCUUCCAUAGCCCACUUCUAAGCAGCUCCUCCCCACCACACCUUGCUCAGAGAAGUAAGCCCUAGCCUUUCCUUGAGCAUAAAUUGAAGGGUGGUAGCAGGUAUAAGCCUGGGGUCACACAUUCCAACAGGAUUCCAUCACAGGUGCAUCUGACCCACCACAAAAGGGAAGAGAGAACACGAUGAAUAUCUUUUGUUUUGGCCUGCCCAGUGUCCCUUCUUCUAGUAAUGGAAUCAUCUCUUCAUUUGGAGAAGACAACCCUCCCCCAUUAUCCAUCCACAGUUUUCAAGUGGGGCUGACUCACUUCCCAGCUCCAAAAGCCUGGGCACCUGAAUCAGGCCAGACUAAUCAGAGUCAGAGAGAGUGGACCAGGAAUGGACAUGUGACUCAAUCUAGGCCAAUGGAAAUCAUUCCAGUUGAUGGAAAAUAAUUGUGAAACUUUCUGAUGGCUGUUUCUGUCGUGACUUGGGAGGCCGCUAGCUGAGAAUAAGGACCAGACAAAAGAGAGAUGGAGCACUGAAGACAUCUUUGACUAUCUAGAUCCAACCGUGUUUGAAGCCAAACAAUCCCUACACUUACCAACCAGCGGUACUCCAGUUAGUGUUUCUCACGUCAGCCUGGUGUCCAGAGUGAGAGUAACGUGGAACAGAGCCCCCAGCUGACCUGUGACGGACACAUAGCAUGAG
RNAcentral lists this long non-coding RNA (4297 nucleotides) under Equus caballus (horse). RNAcentral describes it as "lncRNA (ENSECAG00000058350.1)". Lineage: Eukaryota; Metazoa; Chordata; Mammalia; Perissodactyla; Equidae. The record is from RNAcentral.